AUUUCCUCUCUUCAAAGACGGACCAAGUGAAAGGAUAAAUGAAUCCCUUCCUAUGCAAAAGCUGCCACAGGUUGCCAGCUUCCUUUAUCAUCCUCCCAGUGCUGAGGCUGCUAAAAAAAUUCAGCUAGUUAAAGAGCAAGGAGAAAAGGGGAAACCGCGAGUAUAAAAAUACUUUACAAAAAGAAGCUUCACUGUCAGAGCCUUUGAUAACUGAGGAUCAACACUGGUUAAUCCAACCUGACUUGAAAUUGCCAACAACAAAAUACAUCGAGGAAGCUACUAUUUAGAGCGGUCCCAUGAGAUAUUUUGUCUUCUUUUGUUAAUCCUUUCUUUCCACAUUUGUUAAUUCAAUAUCCAGUGCUUGCAUUAAAAAAAAUGAAGCCAAAAGAACAUUGCUGUUGUGUAAUAUUUUCAGAGCUACAUAUUUUUUUUUUGCAGAGAAAAGACAGAGGACCGUUUUCAGUGUCAGUGCCAUGUGAAUGUCUGUUCCAAUAAUUUCCAGGU
Sceloporus undulatus (fence lizard) is the source of this 504-nucleotide long non-coding RNA. RefSeq lists it as uncharacterized. The transcript is spliced from 3 exons. NCBI's taxonomy places the organism in Eukaryota, Metazoa, Chordata, Lepidosauria, Squamata, Phrynosomatidae. The record is from RefSeq and is a predicted model, not a curated record.